Non-coding RNA from Ceratotherium simum simum (southern white rhinoceros), 786 nucleotides. The record is from RefSeq and is a predicted model, not a curated record. NCBI's taxonomy places the organism in Eukaryota, Metazoa, Chordata, Mammalia, Perissodactyla, Rhinocerotidae.
GGCACUGGGGCUUGGGCAGAAAGAGUAUGGAGACAUCCACAGUAAAGCUCCUGGACAGACGAAGGGGCAACACAGGAGAACACCAGGACAACGCAGAGGCAGGGACAUUGAGAGUGAGGAGCACAUGUACAUUCCCCAAGGUAGACACAUGUAUACAGCCACACUGACAGAUACAGAUGUACAAAUGGUCAGACAUGUAGAGAUAUGGCCAUCCAGAGAGAGACACGCACACAAGAUCUCACACAUACACGGACGAUCACGGAAACAUUCCCCAAUGCAGGUAAUCAGAUCUGUACCCACAGGGAUGUGGUGAUAAAUGGUUAAUGUCUGCUCUUGAGGGAAAAGUGCAUAUAGAUUACAUAAGUUCACUACAAAUUUUACUGAUAUAAAGGAUGUGUAGCACACACUUUACAAAUGAUAAUAUAUACAAUGAUCUCUAUUGUCAGCUCCACAUAGCCAAUUGAUUCUCACAGAAUGCUUGCAUUAAUUUUUGCUUUAACUCUUUUAUGUGUCAAGAUUUGUACUAAAUUCCAACAUAUUUAUAUUAUUAUAACCAAGCAAAUCCAAUUCUGAGUGUAUACUCAUUAGAAAUAAGGGCAUUUUUCCUCUAAAUACAUAUCCAUGAAGGUUUAUAGCAACUGUAUUGAAAUAACCAAGAACUUGAAGCAACCCACAUAGGCAUCCAUGGGAACACGCCUAAAUAAAUGAUGAAAUGGUCACAAAAUGGAAGAAAACAAGCAAUGAAAACUGCUGCUUCAUGCAACCCUGCGGAUGAAUCUCAUAGAA